RNAcentral lists this ribosomal RNA (490 nucleotides) under uncultured bacterium. Its description in RNAcentral is "partial 16S ribosomal RNA". It matches the Rfam family "Bacterial small subunit ribosomal RNA", at positions 30 to 507 of the family's 1533-position model. The record is from RNAcentral.
AUUGAACGCUGGCGGCAGGCCUAACACAUGCAAGUCGAACGGUAACAGGAAGAAGCUUGCUUCUUUGCUGACGAGUGGCGGACGGGUGAGUAAUGUCUGGGAAACUGCCUGAUGGAGGGGGAUAACUACUGGAAACGGUAGCUAAUACCGCAUAACGUCGCAAGACCAAAAAGGGGGACCUUCGGGCCUCUUGCCAUCGGAUGUGCCCAGAUGGGAUUAGCUGGUAGGUGGGGUAACGGCUCACCUAGGCGACGAUCCCUAGCUGGUCUGAGAGGAUGACCAGCCACACUGGAACUGAGACACGGUCCAGACUCCUACGGGAGGCAGCAGUGGGGAAUAUUGCACAAUGGGCGCAAGCCUGAUGCAGCCAUGCCGCGUGUAUGAAGAAGGCCUUCGGGUUGUAAAGUACUUUCAGCGGGGAGGAAGGGAGUAAAGUUAAUACCUUUGCUCAUUGACGUUACCCGCAGAAGAAGCACCGGCUAACUCCGUG